CUUCCUUUUCUUGAUGGGGACUGGUUGUGUAGUCCCACUCCCCACUAUGUACAGAGGCAGAGGGAAAGGGUUCUGGCCCCCUUGGUGUCAUGUCUUUGGUGCCAGCAGCUUCCUGUCCACCGGUUCUAUCCUCAAGCACCGAGACACCU
This 149-nucleotide small nucleolar RNA is filed under the name Carlito syrichta (Philippine tarsier). RNAcentral describes it as "Small nucleolar RNA SNORA57 (ENSTSYG00000029809.1)". It matches the Rfam family "Small nucleolar RNA SNORA57". Rfam says of the family: U99 belongs to the H/ACA class of snoRNAs which are thought to guide the sites of modification of uridines to pseudouridines, the target for this family is unknown. The record is from Rfam by way of RNAcentral. Lineage: Eukaryota; Metazoa; Chordata; Mammalia; Primates; Tarsiidae.